CCAAGAGAUCGGGAUAACACCUGGAAACAGAUGCUAAUACCGGAUAACAACAGAUGAUGCCUAUCAACUGUUUAAAAGAUGGUUCUGCUAUCACUCUUGGAUGGACCUGCGGUGCAUUAGCUAGUUGGUAGGGUAACGGCCUACCAAGGCGAUGAUGCAUAGCCGAGUUGAGAGACUGAUCGGCCACAUUGGGACUGAGACACGGCCCAAACUCCUACGGGAGGCAGCAGCG
Molecule: ribosomal RNA, 232 nt
Filed under: uncultured Lactobacillus sp.
Lineage: Bacteria; Bacillati; Bacillota; Bacilli; Lactobacillales; Lactobacillaceae
Description: partial 16S ribosomal RNA
Rfam family: Bacterial small subunit ribosomal RNA
Source: RNAcentral